Molecule: ribosomal RNA, 250 nt
Filed under: uncultured bacterium
Lineage: Bacteria
Description: partial 16S ribosomal RNA
Rfam family: Bacterial small subunit ribosomal RNA
Source: RNAcentral
UACGGAGGGGGCUAGCGUUGUUCGGAUUGACUGGGCGUAAAGCGCGCGUAGGCGGAUCGUCAAGUCGGGGGUGAAAUCCCGGGGCUCAACCCUGGAAUGGCCUUCGAGACUGGCGGUCUUGAGUUCGAGAGAGGUGGGUGGAAUUCCGAGUGUAGAGGUGAAAUUCGUAGAUAUUCGGAGGAACACCAGUGGCGAAGGCGGCCCACUGGCUCGACACUGACGCUGAGGCGCGAAAGCGUGGGGAGCAAAC